RNAcentral lists this ribosomal RNA (1413 nucleotides) under Microbacterium sp. RNAcentral's name for it is "bacterial SSU rRNA". It matches the Rfam family "Bacterial small subunit ribosomal RNA". Lineage: Bacteria; Bacillati; Actinomycetota; Actinomycetes; Micrococcales; Microbacteriaceae. The record is from RNAcentral.
CAGGGUGGGGGGGUGCUUACACAUGCAGUCGAACGGUGAAGGAGAGCUUGCUCUUUGGAUCAGUGGCGAACGGGUGAGUAACACGUGAGCAAUCUGCCCCUGACUCUGGGAUAACAGUUGGAAACAGCUGCUAAUACCGGAUACGAGACGUGACCGCAUGGUCGACGUUUGGAAAGAAUUUCGGUCAGGGAUGAGCUCGCGGCCUAUCAGCUUGUUGGUGAGGUAAUGGCUCACCAAGGCGUCGACGGGUAGCCGGCCUGAGAGGGUGACCGGCCACACUGGGACUGAGACACGGCCCAGACUCCUACGGGAGGCAGCAGUGGGGAAUAUUGCACAAUGGGCGAAAGCCUGAUGCAGCAACGCCGCGUGAGGGACGACGGCCUUCGGGUUGUAAACCUCUUUUAGCAGGGAAGAAGCGAAAGUGACGGUACCUGCAGAAAAAGCGCCGGCUAACUACGUGCCAGCAGCCGCGGUAAUACGUAGGGCGCAAGCGUUAUCCGGAAUUAUUGGGCGUAAAGAGCUCGUAGGCGGUUUGUCGCGUCUGCUGUGAAAACUGGAGGCUCAACCUCCAGCCUGCAGUGGGUACGGGCAGACUAGAGUGCGGUAGGGGAGAUUGGAAUUCCUGGUGUAGCGGUGGAAUGCGCAGAUAUCAGGAGGAACACCGAUGGCGAAGGCAGAUCUCUGGGCCGUAACUGACGCUGAGGAGCGAAAGGGUGGGGAGCAAACAGGCUUAGAUACCCUGGUAGUCCACCCCGUAAACGUUGGGAACUAGUUGUGGGGUCCAUUCCACGGAUUCCGUGACGCAGCUAACGCAUUAAGUUCCCCGCCUGGGGAGUACGGCCGCAAGGCUAAAACUCAAAGGAAUUGACGGGGACCCGCACAAGCGGCGGAGCAUGCGGAUUAAUUCGAUGCAACGCGAAGAACCUUACCAAGGCUUGACAUAUACGAGAACGGGCUAGAAAUAGUCAACUCUUUGGACACUCGUAAACAGGUGGUGCAUGGUUGUCGUCAGCUCGUGUCGUGAGAUGUUGGGUUAAGUCCCGCAACGAGCGCAACCCUCGUUCUAUGUUGCCAGCACGUAAUGGUGGGAACUCAUGGGAUACUGCCGGGGUCAACUCGGAGGAAGGUGGGGAUGACGUCAAAUCAUCAUGCCCCUUAUGUCUUGGGCUUCACGCAUGCUACAAUGGCCGGUACAAAGGGCUGCAAUACCGUAAGGUGGAGCGAAUCCCAAAAAGCCGGUCCCAGUUCGGAUUGAGGUCUGCAACUCGACCUCAUGAAGUCGGAGUCGCUAGUAAUCGCAGAUCAGCAACGCUGCGGUGAAUACGUUCCCGGGUCUUGUACACACCGCCCGUCAAGUCAUGAAAGUCGGUAACACCUGAAGCCGGUGGCCCAACCCUUGGGAGGCCUCUGCAU